RNAcentral lists this unclassified non-coding RNA (528 nucleotides) under plant metagenome. RNAcentral's name for it is "partial contains 5.8S ribosomal RNA, internal transcribed spacer 2, and large subunit ribosomal RNA". The stretch from base 1 to 105 matches the Rfam family "5.8S ribosomal RNA", at positions 50 to 154 of the family's 154-position model. The record is from RNAcentral.
GAAAUGCGAUACGUAAUGUGAAUUGCAGAAUUCAGUGAAUCAUCAAAUCCUUGAACGCAACUUGCGCUCGCAAGUCCACUUGCGAGCAUGCCUGUUUGAGUAUCGGUUUACAAUCCUCACACAUUGUGUGUGUGUGCUUUUUUGCAUAUCGAUGUGUGGAAUUUUGAUUGGAAGUUGGUUGCGUGUGUGUGUGUGUUUACACCAUGCGACCAUCUACCGAAGCAGUGGUGUGAGAGGCAAGCUUACCCAACCAGUACAACUUCAUUGUUGUAUUGGGCAAGCAUCUCUUGGCAAGGCAAAUCAGAACGCUUCUGUGUUUUCGAUUUUCGCUGACAACAAGACUUGUUUGCUUGUGUUGGGUUGUGUGUGGCUGCAGAGGUGUGCGCCUUGGUGCACACGUUCUCUGUGCCGCUUUGCCGUUCUUUGCACGUGCAGCAUUGUGCGUGUGUUGUUUCACGCGACACACGUACAAAAACCAAUUUCAAACAUCGAUCUCAAAUCAGGCAAGGCUACCCGCUGAAUUUAAGC